RNA transcript from Homo sapiens (human), 818 nucleotides. It is a transcript of the gene named BMS1 pseudogene 21, with no coding region annotated. The transcript is spliced from 6 exons. Lineage: Eukaryota; Metazoa; Chordata; Mammalia; Primates; Hominidae. The record is from RefSeq and is marked validated.
GACGAGUCUUUCUUCCAGCUCUACCCUGAAAGUCCUCCAGGCACCGGUCUUUUUUUUCUGCCUUUUGUUUCCCUCCCGGCGAGUCGGCGCGACAGUGAAUUUCCGUUUCCCGCGGUGUCCAAGCGGACCUGAGGAGUUGCAGCUGUGAGCAGGUUAGAGUUACUUGUUAUUGGUAAAUAGCCACUAUGGAGACUAAGGACCAGAAGAAACAAAGAAAGAAAAACAGUGGACCCAAAGAUGAAAAGAAAAAGAAGCGGCAUCUGCAGGAUCUCCAGCUAGGAGACGAAGAAGAUGCCCAGAAGAGAAAUCCCAAAGCUUUUGCAGUUCAGUCUGCUGUGUGGAUGGCUCGAUCCUUUCACAGGACUCAGGAUUUGAAGACAAAAAAGCAUCGUAUUCCAGUGGUUGAUCGAACUCCACUAGAGCCCCCACCAAUAGUGGUAGUGGUGACGGGGCCUCCAAAGUUGGAAAGAGCACUUUGAUAUAAUGCCUCAUUCAGAACUUCAUUGGCAGAAGUUGACUGAGAUCAGAGGCCCUGUGAUGAUCGUGUCAGGUCAAGGGCUCAGAGGUUUGCAGGGCCCUCCUGGGAAGAUGGGGCCCCCAGGAAACACAGGGACUUCUGGAAUUCCAGGACCUAGGGGCCAAAAAGGAGAUCGUGGGGACAAUUCAGUUGCUGAGGCUAAGCUGGCCAACUUAGAGAGAAAGCUAUAGAGCCUGAGAUCAGAACUGGACCACACGAAGAAGCAGACAGGAUCUCCGUAUGUUGUCCAGGCUGGUCUUUAACUCCUGACCUCAAGUGAUCCUCCCCAAUCAGCCUCCCA